This 253-nucleotide ribosomal RNA is filed under the name uncultured bacterium. RNAcentral's name for it is "partial 16S ribosomal RNA". It matches the Rfam family "Bacterial small subunit ribosomal RNA", at positions 524 to 776 of the family's 1533-position model. The record is from RNAcentral.
UACGGAGGGUGCGAGCGUUGUCCGGAAUCACUGGGCGUAAAGGGCGCGUAGGCGGCAUGCCAAGCGUGUGGUGAAAGCCCGGGGCUCAACCCCGGGUCGGCCGUGCGGACUGGCGUGCUCGAGCACUGUAGGGGCGGGUGGAAUUCCGGGUGUAGCGGUGGAAUGCGUAGAGAUCCGGAGGAACACCAGUGGCGCAGGCGGCUCUCUGGGUCGGCCCUGACGCUGAGGCGCGAAAGCGUGGGGAGCGAACGGG